This is a long non-coding RNA of Triticum dicoccoides, 1895 nucleotides long. RefSeq lists it as uncharacterized. The record is from RefSeq and is a predicted model, not a curated record. NCBI's taxonomy places the organism in Eukaryota, Viridiplantae, Streptophyta, Magnoliopsida, Poales, Poaceae. The transcript is spliced from 2 exons.
UCCCCCACCGGCUGCUCGCCAUACGGCAUCCCACCGGCCGCCCAGAAACUAUGCGCCGCCGGCUGCUCCUGCCUACCCCAGCGCGAGCCCGCCCCCUGAUUCCUCCGCCUCCCACCCAACCACCAGCGUUGCGCCUCCUCCCGCACACGACCACCAGCGCCCGGAUCCGGCCGCCAUGAGGCUCCUGCGCCGCCAAGAACCGGCUACCGCGCCGGAUCCGGUCUCCCCUGGCAACCACCUCCUGCUUCCCCAUCUAAAUCCAGCGCCUCGAUGACGCCCGCUGCCGGCCACCCCGCGUUGGCCCGCCGUCGGAUCGGCGAUUUGCCGACCCCUGGGCAUCGUCGGGCUCAAGGUCGCCGGUAGUGCAGCUAGGGUGCACCGGCAGUGUAGUCUGCUCCAUGGGCGUCACAGUCCACAUUAUGUGGUUGACGUCGGCGAGCUCGAGGAGACCCGGCUGAGAGGAGGAGGAGGAGCUUUACCACGUGCAGUCCAUAGGAGGAGAUCCGGCCGAGAGGAGAAGGACACAGGAUGUGCGGGUGUCAUGCAAUCCACUGGUGGUGCACGAGACCUUCUCCACCGACGGCCACCACCAACGCCAAGCUCCACCAUCCCUUCCCCUGCUGUGCCACUCUGCUGUGCGACGAGGAUCCCUCCGUGCACUGCGCCCACAUCAGUUCUCCCCCAAACGCAGUUCACCUCCCAUUCAUGGAUUCGUGGAUGGAACCAGGAGGCCACCUACCUUCCUCUACCGAGCUUCUCUGCAGCUAAGCAAUGGGAGAGCCUCCUAGAGAGGACUUGCUCUAGCCGUGGGAUCUCAACUCCUCCCUCUGUCAUGGAUCCAUGAUGGGGCAGCAUGGUAAUGCAGUUCGGCAUGCGCGCGUGUGUAGCACGCUUGUGGCGGUGAGGCAGCUCGUGUAGUGUCCUUCAGGUGGUGGAGCGUUGCCCUUUAGUUCAGAAAAAUAAUUGUUCAGAAUUUGUCGAUGAUGCAAUGCGGUGAGCAAUUCAAUUGUGUGUUUCCCAGAUUUUGACUUCAGCUUGGUUUGUGUGCAUAGUGCAGUUUGCUACUAUGGGUGGCUGGCAUCAACGUGCCUCCAGAAGCAGCUCUCUCCUCAACUCGUCGCAGUUCCCCGGCGGUGGGAGAGAAGUGCACUGCUCUAGGGUGCUCUCCUUUAUGGGGGCAGGUGGUCACCCGCUAUGGUGCAUCUCAGAAACGUAUGCCAGGGGGUUUGGUGCUUUGGCCAGGACGGUGACAAGUGCUUUGGCCAGCUCAAAAACUGCAGCGUGGCGUGCAGCUCAUCGCGACUCAAAUUGCAGCUCGGUAUGCCGGGGCUUGCAGUCCGCUCGCUUGGGCGCACCAUUUGUCGUGCAGAUUGGCGUGGUUGGUCUCCCACCUCUCCUACAGUCGUGCCGUCCGGCGACCAUAGUCGUGCAGUCUGCGACCGCGGCUGUGCAGCUCGGUCAAGCACGCAAUGAAGUUCCGUCGCGUGCUGUUCGACGAACACGAGUGCACUGCAGCUCCUGGAUGGUGAACUGCGGAAGGUGCAAUGCGGCUGGCGCACUCUUGAAGUACAGAUUUUUCUUUUUGUGCCUUUUCAUAUUGCUUUCGGGCACAAACAAUGCAGUUUGCCUGGGUCGUCUGUGCGGUGCGGCUAGGUGUCUAGUGCUUGUUUUUUUUCAGGUUCCAAAGACAUCUGUGGUUCGCUCUGAAAAAAAUUCACGUGGGACCACUUGUUUGUAGGAGCAGCUCACUUCAACCGUGUGUGGUUAUUAGAUUUUCCGGUAGAGGGAAUAUCUAUGCAGUUCAUUAUAACAAGCAAGUAGUUCCUUUUGUAAAGGAGCAAUUUGUAAGGCACACAUUUACUUCAGUAAAGUUUUGUCUGAUGCAGUUUGGAACA